This 254-nucleotide ribosomal RNA is filed under the name uncultured bacterium. RNAcentral's name for it is "partial 16S ribosomal RNA". It matches the Rfam family "Bacterial small subunit ribosomal RNA", at positions 524 to 776 of the family's 1533-position model. The record is from RNAcentral.
UACAGAGGUCUCAAGCGUUUGUUCGGAUUCAUUGGGCGUAAAGGGUGCGUAGGUGGCGCCGUAAGUCGGGUGUGAAAUUUCGGAGCUUAACUCCGAAACUGCAUUCGAUACUGCGGUGCUUGAGGACUGGAGAGGAGACUGGAAUUCAUGGUGUAGCAGUGAAAUGCGUAGAGAUCAUGAGGAAGACCAGUGGCGAAGGCGGGUCUCUGGACAGUUCCUGACACUGAGGCACGAAGGCCAGGGGAGCAAACGGG